UACGAAGGGGGCUAGCGUUGCUCGGAAUUACUGGGCGUAAAGGGUUCGUAGGUGGCUCGCUAAGUCAGACGUGAAAUCCCUCAGCUUAACUGGGGAACUGCGUCUGAGACUGGCAAGCUUGAGUGCAGGAGAGGAACGCGGAAUUCCAGGUGUAGCGGUGAAAUGCGUAGAUAUCUGGAGGAACACCGGUGGCGAAGGCGGCGUUCUGGACUGCAACUGACACUGAUGAACGAAAGCCAGGGGAGCAAACGGG
This 253-nucleotide ribosomal RNA is filed under the name uncultured bacterium. Its description in RNAcentral is "partial 16S ribosomal RNA". It matches the Rfam family "Bacterial small subunit ribosomal RNA", at positions 524 to 776 of the family's 1533-position model. The record is from RNAcentral.